This 633-nucleotide unclassified non-coding RNA is filed under the name Malassezia sympodialis. Its description in RNAcentral is "sequence contains 18S rRNA gene, ITS1, 5.8S rRNA gene, ITS2, 28S rRNA gene". The stretch from base 204 to 357 matches the Rfam family "5.8S ribosomal RNA". Lineage: Eukaryota; Fungi; Basidiomycota; Malasseziomycetes; Malasseziales; Malasseziaceae. The record is from RNAcentral.
UAACAAGGUUUCUGUAGGUGAACCUGCAGAAGGAUCAUUAGUGAAAGUUUCGGGCCUGCCAUACGGACGCAAACACGUCUCUGGCGCCCAUCACUAUAUCCAUACCAACCCCUGUGCACUGUGAUGACGAAUGUCAUCGAACAAAAAAAACUCGUAUGGUUGAAUGUACGUGAAAUUGUAGGUAUAGCCUACGAACUAUACACAACUUUCGACAACGGAUCUCUUGGUUCUCCCAUCGAUGAAGAACGCAGCGAAACGCGAUAGGUAAUGUGAAUUGCAGAAUUCCGUGAAUCAUCGAAUCUUUGAACGCACCUUGCGCUCCAUGGUAUUCCGUGGAGCAUGCCUGUUUGAGUGCCGCGAAUUCUCCCUCCCCUUACGGUGGCCGAAAGGCCGAAGUAGGGCGGACGGGGUAGGAUGGGUGUUGCUGCCUGGGGAUUGUACCAGGCUCGCCCGAAAUGCAUAAGCGCCAGGACCCUCGCUACCGCUCUCUAGGGAAGAGUGGCUAAGCGACCGCUGAGCAUGGCAUGAUACGUCAUUUGCUGUGUGUGGGCGGCCGGUUGGAGAGGUGUCUGCUUUACCAGCCCUUUUUUAAUUCUGGUCUCAAAUCAGGUAGGAUCACCCGCUGAACCUAAG